Molecule: long non-coding RNA, 1576 nt
Filed under: Equus caballus (horse)
Lineage: Eukaryota; Metazoa; Chordata; Mammalia; Perissodactyla; Equidae
Description: lncRNA (ENSECAG00000055628.1)
Source: RNAcentral
CUCUUGACAUGACAGAGAGCCUGCCAAGAGCACCAAACUCAUUGAUCCCCGCUACUCUGAGAUCAUGAAGGGAAUGUCAAGAAGAUGUACCACCGAAAAUGAAAAAGGGCACUGAUCAAAGUGGAGAACAUAUUUAACGAGAACGAUGGAUGAAGAGGAGGGAAGAUACCUAUAGACCAACUACCAACGAGAUAUAAGGACAGUGCACGUGGCAGGGAAAGAAUUCGUAUAGUGGAGGUGGUCCCUGGAUCUGUGAAUGUUACCUUUAUGGCAAAAGAUGUGAUAAAGUUCAGGAUCUCGAGAGGAGGAGCUGAUCCUCAGUGGAUCCUAGAUGUGGUCACACGUAUCCUCAUGAGACAGACACACAAAGGAGAAGACACAGAGAGGAGGAGGCCAUGUGGCUACAGGAGAGGAGAGGGGAGGGAUGCGGCUACAAGCCACGGAGGGCCUGCAACCACUGGAAACUGCAAGAGUCAUUGUAGGUCUCAGGAAGGAAGGAGCAAUGAGAGGCUUGUGAAGGGAGGAAGCUCUGCGGAGCCCUCACGAGCAUCACGUGCCUUUGAGGAGUGCCGGACCAUGGAGUCUCAAAGGAAAUCUGCCUUUCUGGAGAGGAACAAACUCACAUUUAUUAAGUGCCAAUAAUGUGCAGGAACUCUACUAGUAACUUAAUAUGUUAUCAUUUUGUCUAAUUAGCAGGGAAUAGGAAGAGUUGAAUAAUGUCUUUGUUUAUGUAAUUUGGCUAUAAAGUAAAGCAAAAUUCUGCCGGGUGAAUGCAAUUUCCUAUUGACUUUCACAUCGCAUUGGACACCCUCCUUGUGGCCAUGGCUGCUCAGGUGAUCUCUCUUUCCUGGAAGUUUCACUUUUCACACAGGCAAUUAUCAUAGCAAAUUUGUGUCAUCUCAGUCAUAAUCAGGCCUAUUUGAAGGGAUGUUGUCAUUAACAGUUUAGUUCCAAAUACAUAUUUUCCCCUAAGUAGGUUGGAACUAACAUAGUGUUGUUGUUUCCAGAGCCAAAGACAAGAAGGCCACAUUUGUGUUUUAAGUCUUAGGAUCCUAAUUUCUUAAUUCCAUACAUUGGAUCCUUGCUGUCUGAGUUUCCACAGGGCCUAGGGAAGAGAUAGGACCCAAGCCGUCAUCAGGCUGUCCUUGCAGGCUUCUUGCAGAGUCGCUGGAAUACUUGAUUGUUUUUCAGUAUUUCAGCAGCUUCCUCUAUGAGGAUGUGUUCACCUCACCCACAGAAGCCCUUUUCAAAUGUUACUGAGAAGACUGAUAAGAAGAAGAAGCAUCCACUGAUGAGUUCUCGGAAAGAAAGCAUCCGAUUUAACUACAGGGCAAGAGCGCUGAGUCCCACAGGCCCGGCUGACAGCGAGGGAGCCAGGCGGCACCCGCUCUUCCCAGAGUGGUGCAGGAAAGAGGCGACCACAUGCAGAAUUCGGGUGCCCCUUGUAAGGGUUCUGGGAAACCCACGAAGACGCCGCAACCCUGAAGGAGGCCUCUGUCAGGGUCUGACGCAGCAGAGACCAGAAAGAACCCAUAGCUGGCGCAGUCAGACGUCCCUGCAAGACUUUCAAACAAAG